AAGGAUUUAAGUUAAAAUAAACUUGUAGUCUUCAAAACUGCUAAUAAAGAAAAUAAAUCUUUAAGCCUUA
This 70-nucleotide transfer RNA is filed under the name Ochthebius sculptoides. RNAcentral describes it as "tRNA-Trp". The record is from RNAcentral. Lineage: Eukaryota; Metazoa; Arthropoda; Insecta; Coleoptera; Hydraenidae.